Molecule: ribosomal RNA, 470 nt
Filed under: uncultured bacterium
Lineage: Bacteria
Description: bacterial SSU rRNA
Rfam family: Bacterial small subunit ribosomal RNA
Source: RNAcentral
ACUCCUACGGGAGGCAGCAGUGGGGAAUAUUGCACAAUGGGGGAAACCCUGAUGCAGCCAUGCCGCGUGUGUGAAGAAGGCCUUCGGGUUGUAAAGCACUUUCAGUAGGGAGGAAGGUAGUGUAGUUAACACCUGCAUUAUUUGACGUUACCUACAGAAGAAGCACCGGCUAACUCCGUGCCAGCAGCCGCGGUAAUACGGAGGUGCGAGCGUUAAUCGGAAUUACUGGGCGUAAAGCGCAUGCAGGCGGCUUGUUAAGUCAGAUGUGAAAGCCCGGGGCUUAACCUCGGAAUUGCAUUUGAAACUGGCAGGCUAGAGUCUUGUAGAGGGGUUAGAAUUUCAGGUGUAGCGUGAAAUGCGUAGAGAUCUGAAGGAAUACCAGUGGCGAAGGCGGCCCCCUGGACAAAGACUGACGCUCAGAUGCGAAAGCGUGGGAGCAAACAGGAUUAGAUACCCCUGGUAGACUGUCA